UGCGAGCGAUUAUCCUUGAGUAAGGCGGGACACGUGAAAUCCUGUCUGAACGUGGGGGGACCACCCUCCAAGCCUAAGUACUCGUGCAUGACCGAUAGCGAACUAGUACCGUGAGGGAAAGGUGAAAAGCACCCCGACAAGGGGAGUGAAAGAGUACCUGAAACCGGUUGCCUACAAACAGUUGGAGCCUGAAAUGGUGACAACGUACCUUUUGUAUAAUGGGUCAGCGACUUAGUGUAACGAGCAAGCUUAAGCCGGUAGGUGGAGGCGUAGCGAAAGCGAGUCUGAACAGGGCGUUCAGUUCGUUGCAUUAGACCCGAAACCAAGUGAUCUAGCCAUGAGCAGGUUGAAGGUUGGGUAACACCAACUGGAGGACCGAACCCGUUUCUGUUGCAAUAGAUUGGGAUGACUUGUGGCUAGGGGUGAAAGGCCAAUCAAACUUGGAAAUAGCUGGUUCUCCGCGAAAUCUAUUUAGGUAGAGCGUCGACCGAAUACCCCCGGGGGUAGAGCACUGGAUGGGCUAUGGGGACUCACCGUCUUACUGAUCCUAACCAAACUCCGAAUACCGGGGAGUACUAGUCGGCAGACACACGGCGGGUGCUAACGUCCGUCGUGGAAAGGGAAACAACCCUGACCAACAGCUAAGGUCCCCAAGUCAUGGCUAAGUGGGAAAGGAUGUGAGGAUCCCAAAACAACCAGGAUGUUGGCUUAGAAGCAGCCAUCAUUUAAAGAAAGCGUAACAGCUCACUGGUCUAAAUAAGGGUCUUUGCGCCGAAAAUGUACCGGGGCUCAAGCCAUGCACCGAAGCUUUGGGUUCACUCUUUGAGUGAGCGGUAGCGGAGCGUUCUGUAAGCUGAUGAAGCAGGAUCUGUGAGGACCUGUGGAGGUAUCAGAAGUGCGAAUGCUGACAUGAGUAACGAUAAAGGGAGUGAGAGACUCCCUCGCCGAAAGUCCAAGGGUUCCUGCUUAAAGUUAAUCUGAGCAGGGUUAGCCGGCCCCUAAGGCGAGGCCGAAAGGCGUAGUCGAUGGGAACCACGUUAAUAUUCGUGGGCCUGCGGGUAGUGACGGAUCGCGUGUAUUGUCAGUCCUUAUCGGAUUGGUCUGGCAGUGAAGCGGUCCCGGGAAAUAGCUCCCGCGUACAGACCGUACCCUAAACCGACACAGGUGGACUGGUAGAGUAUACCAAGGCGCUUGAGAGAACUCUGCUGAAGGAACUCGGCAAAUUACACGCGUAACUUCGGGAUAAGCGUGACCUUGCAGCGGGCAACCGUUGUGAGGUGGCACAGACCAGGGGGUAGCGACUGUUUAUCAAAAACACAGGGCUCUGCGAAGCCGCAAGGCGACGUAUAGGGUCUGACGCCUGCCCGGUGCUGGAAGGUUAAGAGGAGAGGUGCAAGCUUUGAAUCGAAGCCCCAGUAAACGGCGGCCGUAACUAUAACGGUCCUAAGGUAGCGAAAUUCCUUGUCGGGUAAGUUCCGACCUGCACGAAUGGCGUAACGACUUCCCCGCUGUCUCCAGCAGAGGCUCAGUGAAAUUGAAUUCCCCGUGAAGAUGCGGGGUUCCUGCGGUUAGACGGAAAGACCCCGUGCACCUUUACUAUAGCUUUACACUGGCAUUCGUGUCGGCAUGUGUAGGAUAGGUGGUAGACUUUGAAGCCAGGGCGCCAGCCUUGGUGGAGUCGCCCUUGAAAUACCACCCUUAUCUACAUGGAUGUCUAACCGCGGCCCGUCAUCCGGGUCCGGGACAGUGUAUGGUGGGUAGUUUGACUGGGGCGGUCGCCUCCUAAAGAGUAACGGAGGCGCGCGAUGGUGGGCUCAGAGCGGUCGGAAAUCGCUCGUUGAGUGCAAUGGCAUAAGCCUGCCUGACUGCGAGACUGACAAGUCGAGCAGAGACGAAAGUCGGUCAUAGUGAUCCGGUGGUCCCGCGUGGAAGGGCCAUCGCUCAACGGAUAAAAGGUACGCCGGGGAUAACAGGCUGAUGACCCCCAAGAGUCCAUAUCGACGGGGUUGUUUGGCACCUCGAUGUCGACUCAUCGCAUCCUGGGGCUGGAGCAGGUCCCAAGGGUAUGGCUGUUCGCCAUUUAAAGCGGUACGUGAGUUGGGUUCAGAACGUCGUGAGACAGUUCGGUCCCUAUCUGCCGUGGGUGUAGGAAUAUUGACAGGAUCUGUCCCUAGUACGAGAGGACCGGGAUGGACGUAUCUCUGGUGGACCUGUUGUCGCGCCAGCGGCAUAGCAGGGUAGCUAUAUACGGACGGGAUAACCGCUGAAGGCAUCUAAGCGGGAAACCCACCUGAAAACGAGUAUUCCCUGAGAGUCGUGGGAGACCACCACGUUGAUAGGCCGGGUGUGGAAGCGCAGCAAUGUGUGAAGCUUACCGGUACUAAUAGCUCGAUCGGCUUGAUU
Molecule: ribosomal RNA, 2403 nt
Filed under: Aminobacter sp. J41
Lineage: Bacteria; Pseudomonadati; Pseudomonadota; Alphaproteobacteria; Hyphomicrobiales; Phyllobacteriaceae
Description: bacterial LSU rRNA
Rfam family: Bacterial large subunit ribosomal RNA
Source: RNAcentral